RNAcentral lists this unclassified non-coding RNA (2342 nucleotides) under Helicoverpa zea (corn earworm). RNAcentral's name for it is "surfeit locus protein 4 homolog, transcript variant X1". Lineage: Eukaryota; Metazoa; Arthropoda; Insecta; Lepidoptera; Noctuidae. The record is from RNAcentral.
AAUGAGCUCAAGAUAAUUAGUUGAACAGGAAGUGUAUUCCAACUGUCCACACGUCAUUCGACGGCGAAGGACUGACGUGACGGUUUCGUUUCGACGGCAGUGAAAUUUCAUUUUUUAGUGAAUGUGCUUGUGAAACGGCUUUAAAAAUGCAAAUUCCAAACGAAUAUGUGUCUACAGCCGAGGAUGUUGCAGAUCAGGUGAUCCGCAAAGGCAAGAAUGUGCUGCCAACAGUGGCGCGCCUGUGCCUCAUCUCCACAUUCCUGGAGGACGGGCUCCGCAUGUGGUUCCAGUGGUCGGAGCAGCGCGACUACAUGGACAUGUCAUGGGGGUGCGGCAAGUUCCUCGCCACAAUGUUUGUGAUAAUAAACUUAGUUGGCCAACUGGGUGGCUGCGUGAUGGUGCUCGGCAGGCUCAAGGUGGACAUCGCGUGUGGAGUUCUAUUCUUCAUCGUAGUACUACAGACCUUCGCCUACAGUAUAUUAUGGGACAUGCAGUUCUUGCUGCGUAACUUGGCUCUUAUCGGAGCCCUACUGCUUGUGGUAGCGGAGGCCCGUGCGGAGGGGCGCAGCCUCUUCGCCGGUGUGCCGUCGUUAGGCGAGAACAAGCCCAAGACUUACCUGCAGUUGGCUGGCAGGAUUCUACUGGCUUUCAUGUUCAUCACACUGCUGAGAUUCGAAAUUUCCUUCUUGCAGAUCGUGCAAGACUUACUCGGCAGCGUGCUGAUGAUCCUGGUGACAGUGGGGUACCGCACCAAGCUGUCGGCUCUGAUGCUGGUGGUGGUACUGUCUGUGCUCAACUUGUACCACAACGCGUGGUGGGCUGUACCCUCUUACAAGCCGCUGAGGGACUUCCUUAAAUAUGACUUCUUCCAGACCUUAUCAGUGAUUGGCGGUCUCCUAAUGAUCGUGUACUUGGGCCCCGGCGGCGUCAGUAUGGACGAACACAAGAAGAAGUGGUAGAAUCGGCCCGCGGUGUGUACGAUGUAUGCACAGUGAAAGACAAUUGAUAUUUUAAUCAUAAGAUGUUAUGGUGCAAGAGGAAAGAAUAAUAUUUCAUACAAUUCGGUGUUUUAUGUGACAAUCUGACUAGUCGACAAUUGUGAACAUUGAGCUUACUUCCAUAUCCUGUUGUGUUCGGUUCGUGUUAUGGGCAGUUUGCUUACAUUUGUGUAUCACCAAGAUUUAUGAUUCAUGAACACUCUUAAUAAAUAAAUUGUUGUUGGACAAUGCACAUCGAAAAAUUAUAACAAGGAUUCUAGUCCUGCUAAAUGAUGUUGUAUAAAUUCUUUUUUAAAAUAAUUGAAGAAUUGAUAGCCGCAAAUUGCCCAUAACACAAAACAAGUGGUGUCAACACAAAAUUUUAUAUAAAAAUGCACGUAUUUGGUCGAUCAAUAAUAAUAAAAUAAUGUGUCGGGUCAUCCACGGUUCAUGAUUUCAAUAUCGUCAAUUUUUAUAUGAUAGGACUAGUAUUUACCUGCCUAGCACUGUUUAAUAGAUAGUGUUUGGGAUCCCGACGAUAGACACUUGAAUUCAGCAUUGCAUGUAAAACCUACACAGCAACGAAAAACAUGGCGAAAUAACCUUACAAGUUCGUUGAAGACAUAUUUGGGUUACGUCACGACAGUUGCAUAAAAUGCGGCGGAAGCUAUAAUGUUUUUGGUAUUAUUUAACGUUUAUAUUUAAAGCGACGUAAGCUAAAUAUGUUUUCGAAUUUGAAACGAGAGGAAAUAUAACGCAAGUACCGCAAUGAGUCACUUGCAAUUGCUUGGUUAUGGCGAUUCAAAACAUUGAGAUUGUUUUUGAGCUUGUGUUAGUGCCAGACAUUCAAUGCUGCGUUCAAGCGUGCCAAAAUAGUAAACUCCUUCCUUUCCCGCGUAGACGUGAUAUGUUCUAAGCGGGGCCCUUCGCGUGUAAGUGUAUGUACUCAGACUGAACGUAACCCGCUUUCAUUCUCUAUACCGUCACAUUUUCAUUCCGUUUUUCUAAUUGUUGUGAUUAAAUGUAAAUAUUUAUAUAAAAAAAUAUCUAUUUUGUACUUACUGACUGAAUAACAGACAACAGAUCUUUGAAUGUAAACGCAAAUGCUCUUUUUAUGAAUUUUAAUAUUCCAGUAGCCAUAAGUGAAACUUUGGUAUCACAAUUCGAAGAUUUGUGCUUCAUCUUCCUUAUAAAAUAAUAAAAUGUAGUCAUAAAAACAUAAAUAAUUUGAUUUAUCUAAAGUAUUUAAAAGACACAUAUUUUUGUAUUAUUUUUUUUUUUAUUUAUUUUCUUAAGUUUCAGUUUGGCCAUAGAUGAUAAAGAUUCCUGAAAAUAUUGUUCCGAAUAAAUUUUUACAUAAUAAAA